UACAGAGGAUGCAAGCGUUAUCCGGAAUUAUUGGGCGUAAAGCGUCUGUAGGUGGCUUUUUAAGUCCGCCGUCAAAUCCCAGGGCUCAACUCUGGACAGGCGGUGGAAACUACCAAGCUGGAGUACGGUAAGGGCAGAGGGAAUUUCCGGUGGAGCGGUGAAAUGCGUAGAGAUCGGAAGAACAUCGGUGGCGAAGGCGCUCUGCUGGACCAUAACUGACACUCAGGGACGAAAGCUAGGGGAGCGAAUGGG
RNAcentral lists this ribosomal RNA (252 nucleotides) under uncultured bacterium. RNAcentral's name for it is "partial 16S ribosomal RNA". It matches the Rfam family "Bacterial small subunit ribosomal RNA", at positions 524 to 776 of the family's 1533-position model. The record is from RNAcentral.